RNAcentral lists this transfer RNA (69 nucleotides) under Sarcocheilichthys davidi. RNAcentral describes it as "tRNA-Ala". It matches the Rfam family "tRNA". From Rfam's summary of the family: Transfer RNA (tRNA) molecules are approximately 80 nucleotides in length. The record is from RNAcentral. Lineage: Eukaryota; Metazoa; Chordata; Actinopteri; Cypriniformes; Gobionidae.
AAGGCCUUAGUUUAAUUAAAACAUUUGAUUUGCAAUUAUAAAAUGCAAGAUAAACUCUUGUAGGUCUUA